UACGGAGGGUGCAAGCGUUGUCCGGAUUUAUUGGGUUUAAAGGGUGCGUAGGCGGCUUUUUAAGUCAGUGGUGAAAGCCUGCAGCUUAACUGCAGAACUGCCAUUGAUACUGAAGAGCUUGAGUACAGACGAGGUAGGCGGAAUUUAUGAUGUAGCGGUGAAAUGCAUAGAUAUCAUAAGGAACACCGAUUGCGAAGGCAGCUUACUAGACUGUAACUGACGCUGAGGCACGAAAGCGUGGGGAGCAAACAGG
This 253-nucleotide unclassified non-coding RNA is filed under the name uncultured Cytophagales bacterium. RNAcentral's name for it is "contains 16S-23S intergenic spacer region". It matches the Rfam family "Bacterial small subunit ribosomal RNA", at positions 524 to 776 of the family's 1533-position model. Lineage: Bacteria; Pseudomonadati; Bacteroidota; Sphingobacteriia; Sphingobacteriales. The record is from RNAcentral.